This is a long non-coding RNA of Poecilia latipinna (sailfin molly), 2785 nucleotides long. RefSeq lists it as uncharacterized. Lineage: Eukaryota; Metazoa; Chordata; Actinopteri; Cyprinodontiformes; Poeciliidae. The record is from RefSeq and is a predicted model, not a curated record. The transcript has 2 exons.
UUCAAAUUUUUCUAGAAAAAAAUAUUCUUAGUUUAAAAAGUUGUAAAGUCACACAUUUUCAACUUAAGGAGUUCAUAAAUGUUAUUUUUUCUAGAAAAGUUUUGAAAUUAAUCCCAAAAUUUCAAAGUUUUUUGUGCAGUAAUUCAUCCCCAUUUGUGCGCAUGAGACCAUAUUUACCUUCGAUUAGCUCGUUUUCUCAUUAUUACCUUCUGUUUUUAUCUCACAUUGUUAUGUAAGAAAAUGCUCAAGAAAUAAAGACUGAUUGAUUAAUUGUGAUUUUUACCAUGUCGUUCGUUUCUUUGCACAACCAACAACAACAACAACAAAAAAUCUCUGCUCGGGCUUUUUUGUGAAAGAUUACAACCGGAAGUCGUGGUUUAUCGCCGGUCAGUUUGACAGCCGUGGCCGCCGGUGAUCAUCCACGGUUUCUCCGGGACAGACUCCGACCUCGCAGCUCCUCCGGGACACGUCCGACCGGCCUCGGGGCUCGCUCUGGCUCUGUGGACCCCCCGCGGUCCUCCACCUGUCCCGGCGUCCUCCUCCGCUCCGACCAGCUCCCAGUCUGCGGAGUUAGCAGCUUUUAGCAUCUGCAGGCAGCGUCUCCUCUGGCUGUUUUUACGUCUGCUCCUCUGACCAGGAGGUUUCGGCUCCGGCUCUGGAGGCUUUGGACCCGGAGAAUAAACAGACGCAUUUACAUUCAGACGGCGUGGCUGGCUGCUGGAAGGCUGCGGAGCCUGAAUGACCUGCAGCCGCAGCUGCAGCAGCAGCAGCAGAUCUACUGGUGCCACACGGAGGUUUUCUGGAAAAGCCGACCUUCAGCAUUCCUGGAAAGAUUCACAAACACCCACAUGGAUGUCUGAUAAUCGAUCUCCUGACUUUACUGGAAGGGAUCUGGAGAUUCAACAGCGACUGGUUACUGGUAGACCUGCGUCUGUACAGGCGAGUUAGGCAAAGUGGACACUCAGAUUUCUAACAUCACCGCUGCUCAGUGAACACCAGGCACAGCUGGAGAAAACAAUUAAAUUAGUGCAUCAAAUGCAGCUUAGCACACAUAAAACCAGACGCACGGAGUCCCGCUGAAGGACAGAUGCUGCCCCCACCCCGCCUCGCAUCAUCCUCUCAAAUCCAGCCGCAGGGAAGAUGAGAUUUGGAUCCGACCGAUUUGUUCGCUCACUCGCUGCUUCGUUCCUGACCAAAACGUCGGAAGCGUCGCUGUGAGGCGCCGCUGCAGUGAGCAUGAUCUACUGCUACCGCUGUGCUUUCCAGUUUUUCCCCCCAUGGGGACAAAGAUGAAGAGAAUCUGAACUACUUUGGAUCUUAUGUGAGGAGAUUUAAGCUAAAAAAAAUACUCAAAAAUAUCAGUGUCGAGGCGUGUAGAGAACCCAAAAAUUGUACCCAAAUAAGAGUAAAACGUACAAAGUAUCCGCCCAAGACAUUACGCAAGUAAAAGUAAAUAAAGUAUCUGGUAAAAAGUCUGCUUAGGUACUGAGAAACCCAUAAAAAUAAUUUAAUGUAAAGAAGAUCAUCAUCAUACAGACCAAGUGGAAAUUUUGGUAUUGUAAAAAUCAAAAUAUCAAUAAUUCAUAUAAAUAAUUACAAAAUCAGGUGGAAGAAACAUUUUAUGUUUAAUAUAAAACUUAUAAACUGCAGGUCUGUAUCUGGUAAAUUUUUUAUUAAAACAAACUUGCUCUUCAUCCAGUCAGAGUCCAGAUAUUUUACUCAAGUAAAAGUAAAAAGUAGCAGUCAAAAAAAUAACUGAAGAGUAAAAAAUGGUAAAAUGUUACCAAAUAACUGAUUUACAUAAUCAAACGGAUCAAAAAUAUUCUGCUAUUUUAGAGCUAAAAGGGAAAAUAAUUAGUAUAAAUAACAUAAUAUUUUGAACCUUAUAAAUCUUUAACAAAAACUGCAGUCGUGUACUUUGUGUUUUUUAUUUUUUAGUCUAAUAAAAAAACUCGUUUUUUGGUUUAAACGAGCUUCUUUUUCAUUCGGUGAAGUUACUUUCGGUGGGUAAAGUAUCCAGAUAUUUCACUCAAGUAAGCGUGGUGAUAAUUCAUAAUAAAGUUACUAAAAAUAAAAGCAAAAAUAAAGCGUAGUAAAAGUAGUUUUUUCCAAAAAGUUAAGUAAAUGUAUCACAACUGAAUUGUGAAUUGUCAUGUAGCUAAUAAAACUGCAUUUGACUUGACUCUGUUAAUCAGUUUUUCAAAGUAAGGAGUAAAAAAACAAGAAAGCAGUUGAAGAAGAGGAGGCUGGUUUUGUUAUCCGUGAGGAAGGCCCUCCUCCCCUCCGCUGCUCCUCCCUCUCUCCUCUGAUCCAGCAGCUCUCCUUUGCUCCAGUGCAGAGACGAAGCGCAGCGGAGCGCAGCAUGCGGCCCGGACAGACUCUCUGCAUCCGUCCGCCGGCUCUCCCUGCAGCCGCACGCUGCCGGUAAUCCCGCACCGCAGCGCACCGCGGGAUGAAGACUGAAACCCGAGCGAGUUUAAACCGGAAAUAAACGAGUGGAUGAAGGAUAAAGCCGCGUCUGGACGGACUUUGGAGGCAGUCGGGUUGCAGCUGCCUGAGAUUCAGCGGAGACGGAGCAUCUGUGAGCGCGUGCCUGUCGGCAGUGGCGGAUUUUGAUAUGGGCGCUUGCCCAAGGCGGCAUCAGAAAGGGGCGGCACAACCAAGAACUUGAGAAUAUAAUAUCUUAUCCAUCAGUAGUCCCCGAGAAACGGCUUCUAUGUCUGUUUAGUGGCACUAGCUUCCCUUAGGCGGUACAUUAUCUGCUUUCUGAUUUAACAACAAAAAA